Molecule: ribosomal RNA, 425 nt
Filed under: uncultured bacterium
Lineage: Bacteria
Description: bacterial SSU rRNA
Rfam family: Bacterial small subunit ribosomal RNA
Source: RNAcentral
GGGGAAUUUUGGACAAUGGGGGCAACCCUGAUCCAGCCAUCCCGCGUGUGCGAUGAAGGCCUUCGGGUUGUAAAGCACUUUUGGCAGGGAAGAAACAGCCUGGCUAAUAUCCCGGGCGACUGACGGUACCUGCAGAAUAAGCACCGGCUAACUACGUGCCAGCAGCCGCGGUAAUACGUAGGGUGCAAGCGUUAAUCGGAAUUACUGGGCGUAAAGCGGGCGCAGGCGGUUCGGAAAGAAAGGUGUGAAAUCCCAGGGCUUAACCUUGGAACGGCACUUUAAACUACCGGGCUAGAGUACGUCAGAGGGGGGUAGAAUUCCCCGUGUAGCAGUGAAAUGCGUAGAGAUGUGGAGGAAUACCGAUGGCGAAGGCAGCCCCCUGGGAUGAUACUGACGCUCAUGCACGAAAGCGUGGGGAGCAAACA